GGUAAUUUGCUGGAUGGAGUGGAUUGGAAUUACUAAUACCAAUGUGAAUGCUAUAUUGGUAAUUGCUUUGUACAGAAUAAUAAGUCUAUUUAGGAGUGAUGUGAGCUACUUUGCCUUUCGUAAGAAUAUUUAAGAUUGGAAAAUGGAGGGAAUUUGGGUGCAUUUCCCCUUAUCAAUUUCCAUUUUUGUCAGUUGUUCUCUCUACACUGAUGAUCACAAGUUUUAUGUGGGUAUGAUCACAAGUUUUAUGUGGGUAUUGUCACAAGCAGUAUUUUAGAUUGGGAAAAUUAUUUUGAAGGGACACUUUCUGGCCUGUUUUGAUUUAUUAUCAAUUUAUUAUGAUUGGCAAAAGAUUUUGUCUAUUAUCACUUUUAGCUUUUAAUAUUUAUCACACAGGCUUUUGCUAUUGCCUUUAAGUGUUCUUAUAUGAAGGAGUAAUAUUAGAAUUUCAGUUCAUGUUAGAAACUAAGUAAAUGCCUAUUGACUAUCUGCCCUUUUUCAAAAAAGGUAAAUAUACUGUCUUUUUAACAUGAACUAGAAGUUAUUAAUCAACCCCCU
This 558-nucleotide unclassified non-coding RNA is filed under the name Hevea brasiliensis (rubber tree). Lineage: Eukaryota; Viridiplantae; Streptophyta; Magnoliopsida; Malpighiales; Euphorbiaceae. The record is from RNAcentral.